GAUCCUGGGCCCAGUCUGUGACUCAGCCCGCCUCAGUGUCUGGGACCCUGGGCCAGACAGUCACCAUCUCCUGCUCUGGAAGCAGCUCCAACGUCGGGUAUAGUAGUGGUAGUUAUGUGGGCUGGUUCCAACAGAUCCCAGGAACAGCCCCCAAACUCCUCAUCUAUAGUAGUAACAAACGAGCCUCAGGGGUCCCAGAUCGAUUCUCUGGAUCCACGUCUGGCAACACAGCCACCCUGACCAUCUCUGGGGUCCAGGCUGAGGACGAGGCCGAUUAUUACUGUGGUUCCUAUGACAGCAGUGGUAGUAGUUACACAGUGCUGCAGGCCCAUGGGGAA
Molecule: non-coding RNA, 338 nt
Organism: Equus quagga
Lineage: Eukaryota; Metazoa; Chordata; Mammalia; Perissodactyla; Equidae
Source: the annotation of a RefSeq genome assembly